Molecule: long non-coding RNA, 2793 nt
Filed under: Sus scrofa (pig)
Lineage: Eukaryota; Metazoa; Chordata; Mammalia; Artiodactyla; Suidae
Description: lncRNA (ENSSSCG00035042139.1)
Source: RNAcentral
AUGAAAGAAACGCAGAGCGAAGGGUCCUUGGCCCAAACACAGGAUGGCAUGACCCAGCCAGGCACUUGGCUUUCUGGAAGGACCCUGUGCCCUUGCCGCCUGGCAGGUUCGACCAUCUGGUGGCCAUCGAGCUCCCGGGAAGGGCUGUGCGUGGCAAUUACUACAAUGCGGGAGAUGAAGAUCCAGCCCUUGGUGGACCCUGUGGGUAAUCCUUUCAGAUCACAGAGGAUUCCUGGAAUCUCGUCGAGGUCCUACGCCUCUCAAGGACUCUGUAAAGUGAGGACAACAGGGCCCUGGACAGGACACCCUGGGAGCAAACACGAUGAACUGCAUGGAUGCCGAACAGCAGAGACAGAUGUAGACAAGACACAGAGGCCAGGGGCAGACCAGCCAGAAGAAUCUAGAAGGACAGAGGAAAAUUGCUUCCUUUGUGACAGUUGUUGGCACAGUAUGAGACCUCAGUUUUACUGGCUGGAUACUACUCACCCUGAAGCUGCUGCAGCUGAGAAAUCUGUGGACAACUGAUGAAAGCGGGCAGCUAGUUCGAGUUCUUACCUGUUGGUCAGCCUCCCAGAUCUCUGCUUGCGGGUCUGGUGGAAGUGAGAGUGACCAGAGCCCUUUGUCUCUUUUCUACAAUUAAAUUAACAGGAGAGGAGUUCCCGUCGUGGCGCAGUGGUUAACGAAUCCGACUAGGAACUAUAAGGUUGCGGGUUCGGUCCCUGCCCUUGCCCAGUGGGUUAACGAUCCGGCGUUGCCGUGAGCUGUGGUGUAGGUUGCAGACGCGGCUCGGAUCCCGCGUUGCUGUGGCUCUGGCGUAGGCCGGUGGCUACAGCUCCGAUUCAACCCCUAGCCUGGGAACCUCCAUAUGCCAUGGGAGCGGCCCAAGAAAUAGCAACAACAACAACAACAAAAGACAAAAAAAAAAAAAAAAAUUAACAGGAGAAAAUAUCUGUGGAGCUAGUUCCUUGGACCCAGCAACUCUUGGUUUGAAAAUCGGCAGAGUGCUCUGGAUUUGUUGAUCCUUUUCCUCCCAAAGAUGGUUAUUGUUUUUCUGUAUCUGUCUAUUGUGUUGUUUGUCAUAAGAAGGAAAUUCCAUCCGGCAGGAUGCAGGCAUAGGCCCUUUAAGCCUGUUGUGCAGCCUAGCCCUGCAGACUGGUGAGUUCGAAGGUCUCACCAAAAAACCAGCAUCUAUUUAGACAAACUUCGCCAUGAGUUCAUAUGUACAAGAUAAGAGCUAUUGGCAAGGAAUAUCUUACAGGCACAGCUGGGCCGCUGGUGGAUAUUGGUUGAGCAUUUAAGGCCAUCAGGGCACUUGCCAUCUCAAGAAGGCACCUGUGAAAGGACAAGUUGGUUAUGGGGUGGGUUAGAUCCACACUAUGUCACCUGCCGAUCUCAAAGAUAUGUCCAUGCCGCAAGGGACACUGUAAAAUACCACAGUCCUCAGCCUCCCUCUACGUCCCUCUUGGAUAUUAGUUUGCCUCCAAGAAACCUAAAACUUUGCUUAAAGCUGUUAACGUGCAUAGAAGAAAAAAAACUGGAUGAGGUUUCUCCAGUUUGGNAUUUGGAGCUGGAGCUGCCGGCCUACACCACAGCCAUAGUAAUGCAGGAUCUGAGCCGAGUCUGUGACCUACACCACAGCUCACGGCAACGCCCCAUCCUUAACACACUAAGGCGGCACAAGAAAUGGCAAAAAGACCAAAAAAAAAAGAUUGACAACAGGGGAGGCCCCUCUGUGAUCAGUGAGUUAAGAACCCAUCUGCAGCAGCUCAGGUUGCUGCAGAGGUGUGGGUUUGAUCCCCAGCCCAGUGAAGUGGUUAAAGGAUCCAGCGUUGCCGCAGCUGCAGUAUAGGUUCCAGCUGUGGCUCGCANAACAACAACAACAACAACAACAAAACAACAACAAAAAAAAAAACAAAAAAGAAAAAAAAAAUUGGCAAAUGGCCUGGGUCCCUUGGCUUGACCCCUUCCUGUGGACCCAAAGCCUUUUAGGCAAGAGUGGGUAAAUAGCUAGGGGAUGAAGAGACGUUUCUGGGACUCCUUGAUGGUGGAAACUCACAAGCUGAGAUACCAAAACCCAUUAAUGGAACCCUGACUCAGACGACAAUGAGACGAAGAAAAGCAAAAAGUACAAGGGUUGAUAAGAUUAUGAAGAUUGAAAUGUUUGAGGUGUUACAUGAAGAGGUUAAACGAUGUUGCCUGAAUGUCUUAUGGACAAGGAUGUUGUGUCUGGCCGGGAACACGUCUCCACCCAGUACUGUGGGACUGAGACCUCUGGGUGGGGUCCUAGUGGGGACUAUGGUCAAAGGUAGAAGAGUUGACAAAUUAAGGUGAAAGCUUAUAAGAAAACUGGCAUUUUGAAUGGGCUUUAUGUAAGGUGGUGCUGUCUCUUCUGCCUGAAUAUUUUGUGGGGGUGGACAUGGGGUCUCACUGGAGAAUGUUUCCACUACUUGAUAGUCCAAGACCAGGUGGGCAUAUAAAAUCCACCCUUUGGGCAAUGUUAAUUAAACAUGCUGAUGAGAACCUGAGCCCAUGCAAUGUGAGAUGAAAACUGGGGGCUAAUACUUGGACCUGAUAGGUGCAAUAGUGGAAGCUUUUUGCCCCUUGGGUGAAUUGGUCUGGGGGGGACUUGAGCUCUUAUAAAGAGGGCCUUUGUUGAACGCCUUGUGUGGACUUUUGAAGGUAUGACACAUUGAACUGUGGCAUUCUAGAACAUAGAAAUCUGUUGAUUUCCAUUUUAGUUGGAAAUCUCUCUAAUAUAAAUAAGCAAAUUAAAUAAAGUAAGUUGGAAGGGCA